UAGAGUUUGAUCAUGGCUCAGAUUGAACGCUGGCGGCAGGCCUAACACAUGCAAGUCGGACGGCAGCGGGAGGAAGCUUGCUUCCUUGCCGGCGAGUGGCGGACGGGUGAGUAAUAUCUGGGGAUCUGCCUGAUGGAGGGGGAUAACCACUGGAAACGGUGGCUAAUACCGCAUGAAGUCGCGAGACCAAAGCGGGGGACCUUCGGGCCCCGCGCCAUCAGAUGAACCCAGACGGGAUUAGCUGGAAGGUGGGGUAACGGCUUACCUUGGCGACGAUCCCUAGCUGGUCUGAGAGGAUGAUCAGCCACACUGGGACUGAGACACGGCCCAGACUCCUGCGGGAGGCAGCAGUGGGGAAUAUUGCACAAUGGGGGAAACCCUGAUGCAGCCAUGCCGCGUGUAUGAAGAAGGCCUUCGGGUUGUAAAGUACUUUCAGCAGGGAGGAAGGGGUGAGGAGUAACAUGCCUUGCCAUUGACGUUAUCUGCAGAAGAAGCACCGGCUAACUCCGUGCCAGCAGCCGCGGUAAUACGGAGGGUGCGAGCGUUAAUCGGAAUUACUGGGCGUAAAGGGCACGCAGGCGGUCAAUUAAGCCGGAUGUGAAAUCCCCGGGCUCAACCCGGGAACUGCAUUCGGAACUGGUUGACUGGAGUUCUGUAGAGGGGGGUGGAAUUCCACGUGUAGCGGUGAAAUGCGUAGAGAUGUGGAGGAACACCAGUGGCGAAGGCGGCCCCCUGGACAGAGACUGACGCUCAAGUGCGAAAGCGUGGGGAGCAAACAGGAUUAGAUACCCUGGUAGUCCACGCUGUAAACGAUGUCGAUUUAAAGGCUGUGGUCAUGAACUGUGGCUUUUGGAGCAAACGCGUUAAAUCGACCGCCUGGGGAGUACGGCCGCAAGGUUAAAACUCAAAUGAAUUGACGGGGGCCCGCACAAGCGGUGGAGCAUGUGGUUUAAUUCGAUGCAACGCGAAGAACCUUACCUGGUCUUGACAUCCACAGAAGACUGCAAAGAUGCGGUUGUGCCUUCGGGAACUGUGAGACAGGUGCUGCAUGGCUGUCGUCAGCUCGUGUUGUGAAAUGUUGGGUUAAGUCCCGCAACGAGCGCCACCCUUGUCCUUUGUUGCCAGCGCGUGAAGGCGGGAACUCAGGGGAGACUGCCGGUGAUUAACCGGAGGAAGGUGGGGACAAAUCAAGUCAUCUUGCCCUUACAACAAGGGCUACCACUUGCUCAAUGGCCCUUCAAAAGAAACGAGCCUGCGAGGGUGAACGGACUCUUAAAUGGGUCCACUCCGGAUGGGAUUGGACUCUCUUCCUCAAUAUGAAUCCUUGAUACGGGCAAUAAAGGCCGGGUGAACUUUCGCGGCUUGAAACCCGCCCGCACCCUUGAAUGGGUGAAAAAACAAAGGUUACUUUUAGGAUCAG
RNAcentral lists this ribosomal RNA (1420 nucleotides) under uncultured Enterobacteriaceae bacterium. RNAcentral's name for it is "partial 16S ribosomal RNA". It matches the Rfam family "Bacterial small subunit ribosomal RNA". The record is from RNAcentral. Lineage: Bacteria; Pseudomonadati; Pseudomonadota; Gammaproteobacteria; Enterobacterales; Enterobacteriaceae.